RNAcentral lists this ribosomal RNA (899 nucleotides) under Sarcophaga taenionota. RNAcentral's name for it is "eukaryotic LSU rRNA". It matches the Rfam family "Eukaryotic large subunit ribosomal RNA", at positions 120 to 843 of the family's 3401-position model. Lineage: Eukaryota; Metazoa; Arthropoda; Insecta; Diptera; Sarcophagidae. The record is from RNAcentral.
CACUUUGUCUUUAUGGCAAAUGUGAGAUGCAGUGUAUGGAAUGUCAAAUUUCUAGUAUGAGAAAUUAACGAUUUAAGUCCUUCUUAAAUGAGGCCAUUUACCCAUAGAGGGUGCCAGGCCCGUAUAACGUUAAUGAUUACUAGAUGGCAUUUCCAAAGAGUCGUGUUGCUUGAUAGUGCAGCACUAAGUGGGUGGUAAACUCCAUCUAAAACUAAAUAUAACCAUGAGACCGAUAGUAAACAAGUACCGUGAGGGAAAGUUGAAAAGAACUCUGAAUAGAGAGUUAAAUAGUACGUGAAACUGCUUAGAGGUUAAGCCCGAUGAACCUGAAUAUCCAUUAUAGAAAAUUCAUCAUUAUGAUUUUAAUAUUAAUAAUAUUAUAAUAAUAGUGUGCAUUUUUUCUAUAACGGACAUUGUAAUCUAUUAACAUAAAUAUAUUUAUCAUAAGAUCAAUGAUGCGUAAGUUUAUUCAAAUUAUUUUGCUUGCAAUUUAACAUAGAAUAAAUGCUCUUGAUUUGAUAAAGUGUUGAUAGAUUUAUUGUAUAUAGUGCUUAAAUAUUUGUAUUUUAUAAUAGCAUAUUAAUCAUUGAUUUUUAUGUUUAUUAUAUGCACUUAUAUGAUUAACAAUGCGAAAGAUUCAGGAUACCUUCGGGACCCGUCUUGAAACACGGACCAAGGAGUCUAACAUAUUUGCAAGUUAUUGGGUAUCAAAACCUAAUAGCGAAAUUAACAUGACUUUUAAUGGGAUUAGUUUUUAGAUUAUUUAUAGUCUAUUAAUUCAAUCCCGGGGCGUUCUAUAUAGUUAUGUAUAAUAAUAUUUAUAUUAUUUAUAUCUCUAACUAGAGCGUACCUUGAGCAUAUAUGCUGUGACCCGAAAGAUGGUGAACUAUACUUGAUCA